This 481-nucleotide ribosomal RNA is filed under the name uncultured bacterium. RNAcentral's name for it is "bacterial SSU rRNA". It matches the Rfam family "Bacterial small subunit ribosomal RNA", at positions 28 to 521 of the family's 1533-position model. The record is from RNAcentral.
GACGAACGCUGGCGGCGUGCUUAACACAUGCAAGUCGAACGAAGAUGCCGGAGUGCUUGCACUUUGGCAGACUGAGUGGCGGACGGGUGAGUAACGCGUGGGUAACCUGCCUUAUACAGGGGGAUAACAGUUGGAAACGACUGCUAAUACCGCAUAAGCGCACGGUAUCGCAUGAUACAGUGUGAAAAACUCCGGUGGUAUAAGAUGGACCCGCGUCUGAUUAGCUUGUUGGUGAGGUAACGGCCCACCAAGGCGACGAUCAGUAGCCGGCCUGAGAGGGUGAACGGCCACAUUGGGACUGAGACACGGCCCAAACUCCUACGGGAGGCAGCAGUGGGGAAUAUUGCACAAUGGGGGAAACCCUGAUGCAGCGACGCCGCGUGAGUGAUGAAGUAUUUCGGAUGUAAAACUCUAUCAGCAGGGAAGAUAAUGACGGUACCUGACUAAGAAGCACGGCUAAAUACGUGCCAGCAGCCGCGGU